This 870-nucleotide ribosomal RNA is filed under the name Paratheuma armata. RNAcentral describes it as "bacterial SSU rRNA". It matches the Rfam family "Eukaryotic small subunit ribosomal RNA", at positions 52 to 916 of the family's 1831-position model. Lineage: Eukaryota; Metazoa; Arthropoda; Arachnida; Araneae; Dictynidae. The record is from RNAcentral.
UGCAUGUCUAAGUACAUGCCGAAACAAGGCGAAACCGCGAAUGGCUCAUUAAAUCAGUUAUGGUUCCUUGGAUCGUACCUCGCUACUUGGAUAACUGUGGCAAUUCUAGAGCUAAUACAUGCAGCAGAGCUCCGACCCUCCGGGGACGAGCGCUUUUAUUAGACCAAAACCGAUCGGACCUCGAGUCCGCAUCAAAAGUGGUGACUCUGAAUAACUUUGGGCUGAUCGCACGGGCCAGUCCCGGCGACGUAUCUUUCAAGUGUCUGCCUUAUCAACUUUCGACGGUAGGUCACGCGCCUACCGUGGUCAUUACGGGUGACGGGGAAUCAGGGUUCGAUUCCGGAGAGGGAGCCUGAGAAACGGCUACCACAUCCAAGGAAGGCAGCAGGCGCGCAAAUUACCCACUCCCGGCACGGGGAGGUAGUGACGAAAAAUAACGAUACGGGACUCUUACGAGACCCCGUAAUCGGAAUGAGCACACUCUAAAGCCUUUAACGAGGAUCCAUUCGAGGGCAAGUCUGGUGCCAGCCGCCGCGGUAAUCCCAGCUCGAAUAGCGUAUAUUAAAGUUGUUGCGGUUAAAAAGCUCGUAGUUGGAUCUCAGUCACGGACGGGCGGUCCGCCUACCACGGCGGCAACUGCCCGAUCCGGACAGCCAGCCGGUUACCCCCGAUGAUCUUCACCGGUUGUCUGGGGCGACUGGCGAGUUUACUUUGAAAAAAUUAGAGUGCUCAAAGCAGGCGAGAAGCCUGGAUAAUGGUGCAUGGAAUAAUGGAAUAGGACCUCGGUUCUAUUUUGUUGGUUUUCGGAGCACGAGGUAAUGAUUAAGAGGGACAGACGGGGGCAUUCGUACUGCGACGCUAGAGGUGAAA